Long non-coding RNA from Mytilus californianus (California mussel), 435 nucleotides. RefSeq lists it as uncharacterized. The record is from RefSeq and is a predicted model, not a curated record. The transcript has 3 exons. NCBI's taxonomy places the organism in Eukaryota, Metazoa, Mollusca, Bivalvia, Mytilida, Mytilidae.
CUAAGUAAAGGGGGUAUAAAACUGAAAUAAUAUUGUAUUUUAAGUGUUUGACGGAAAUUUACUACAUAAUUGUAUGGAGUAGUUUAUUUUCGUUAUAUAGUUGUAAAUUUGAGGUCAAUUUUAAACAGAUUCGGAUCGGAAUUUUAUUUACUAAUAAAUUAAACGCUCAUAUUAAACAGGUAUGGCGAAUGAGAAGUUAACGAUGCAAGCUUUGAUCGAACAUGAUCGAGUACAACCCAAAUUAAAAGCCACGGGAACAUCAAACUCGUCCACAGUCAUUAAAGAGAACGCCUCAAUCAAAAGUGGCGAUGCUGUUCCAAAGAGAAGAAGACAUCCGUCAUCAAGUGAUACAAAAUCUCAGAAAUCAGUUUCCAUGGCACCGCCAAAGACGGGUAUAAAUUUCUUUCGAAUAGUUGCAGCAACCAAAGCAUGGCA